RNAcentral lists this ribosomal RNA (368 nucleotides) under uncultured organism. RNAcentral describes it as "bacterial LSU rRNA". It matches the Rfam family "Bacterial large subunit ribosomal RNA", at positions 2099 to 2465 of the family's 2925-position model. The record is from RNAcentral.
CUUGACUGUAUCCUGGAAUUGGGUUCGGGCUUUUCUUGCGCAGCCUAGGUGGGAGGCUAUGAAGAUUUCCUUCCGGGGAAGUUGGAGCCAUCAGUGAGAGACCACUCUGGAGAGGCUAGAAUCCUAGUGGUGAUCCUUGAAUCAGGACACUUGACAGUUUCAGGUGGGCAGUUUGACUGGGGCGGUCGCCUCCUAAAGGGUAACUGAGGCGCGCAAAGGUCCCCUCAGUCUGGACGGAAAUCAGACAACGAGUGUAAAGGCAAAAGGGGGCUUGACUGCAAGACCUACAAGUCGAGCAGGAGCGAAAGCUGGCCUUAGUGAUCCGACGGUACCGUGUGGAAGGGCCGUCGCUCAACGAAUAAAAGUUA